CGGAGUGUGGCGCAGCCUGGUAGCGCACCUCGUUCGGGACGAGGGGGUCGCAGGUUCGAAUCCUGCCACUCCGACCA
RNAcentral lists this transfer RNA (77 nucleotides) under Ancylobacter novellus. Its description in RNAcentral is "Starkeya novella tRNA-Pro". It matches the Rfam family "tRNA". Rfam says of the family: Transfer RNA (tRNA) molecules are approximately 80 nucleotides in length. RNAcentral also lists the same sequence under 15 other names. The record is from RNAcentral. Lineage: Bacteria; Pseudomonadati; Pseudomonadota; Alphaproteobacteria; Hyphomicrobiales; Xanthobacteraceae.